ACGGAGGAUCCAAGCGUUAUCCGGAUUUAUUGGGUUUAAAGGGUGCGUAGGCGGACCCGUAAGUCAGUGGUGAAAGUUUGCAGCUCAACUGUAAAAUUGCCAUUGAAACUAUGGGUCUUGAGUGUAAAUGAGGUAGGCGGAAUGUGUUGUGUAGCGGUGAAAUGCUUAGAUAUAACACAGAACACCAAUUGCGAAGGCAGCUUACUAGGAUACAACUGACGCUGAGGCACGAAAGCGUGGGGAUCAAACAGGAUUAGAUACCCUGGUAGUCCACGCAGUAAACGAUGAAUACUAACUGUAUGCGAUAUACUGUAUGUGGUAAAGCGAAAGCGUUAAGUAUUCCACCUGGGGAGUACGUUCGCAAGAAU
Molecule: ribosomal RNA, 368 nt
Filed under: uncultured bacterium
Lineage: Bacteria
Description: bacterial SSU rRNA
Rfam family: Bacterial small subunit ribosomal RNA
Source: RNAcentral